RNAcentral lists this ribosomal RNA (396 nucleotides) under Triticum aestivum (bread wheat). RNAcentral describes it as "partial small subunit ribosomal RNA". Lineage: Eukaryota; Viridiplantae; Streptophyta; Magnoliopsida; Poales; Poaceae. The record is from RNAcentral.
AUGGCCCGACGCCGGAGCAGCGGCGGCAUCUCGUCCGCGCUGAGCCUGGGGCUCGCCGUGAUGGCCGUCACAUGGGCGACGUCCACGGCGCAGCAGCAGCAGCAGCAACCGCCGGCCGUGCCAAGCGUGAGCGUGCCGAGCUGCCCGCCGGUGCAGGCCUCGUUGUCGCCGUGCGUGAGCUACUUCAUCGGCAACUCCUCGUCGCCGUCUGACACGUGCUGCGUCCAGAUGCGGGCCCUGUUCCAGUCGGAGGCGCCCUGCCUCUGCGCCGCCGUGUCCGCCGUGCCGUCCCAGCUCGGGUCCGUGGUCGGCGGCCUGCUCCCCACCGCCUGCAACCUGCCCCCCAACGCCUGCUCCGGUACGUGCAUGCUGCCAGCGAGAUGCUCCUACAUGUAG